AAGUCGUAACAAGGUUUCCGUAGGUGAACCUGCGGAAGGAUCAUUAGCACGUCUUGUGGCUAAGGAGGGAGUUGAGAGACGAGCUCCUUGGCCCGAUAAACACCUGUGAGCAUGAAAUUGAUUUGUGGAUGGAGGAGUGGAGGUGUGUUGUGGGCCUGCGGCUAAUGGCCUGCGGCCUGCGACCAUUGAAGCUUUUUCCUUUUUUACUUUUUUAAACCCCAACAACCAAUACAUAAAACUUCUUAAAGACUGAACUGUCUCUUGACUAACAACUCGAGACAACCUUGAUAUUCUAACCAAAGAAACAAUUCUUAGCAACGGAUAUCUUGGUUCCC
Molecule: unclassified non-coding RNA, 335 nt
Filed under: fungal sp.
Lineage: Eukaryota; Fungi
Description: partial internal transcribed spacer region
Rfam family: Eukaryotic small subunit ribosomal RNA (bases 1-46)
Source: RNAcentral